UAACACGUAAGGGGCAAGCGUUGUUCGGAAUUAUUGGGCGUAAAGGGUACGUAGGCGGUUUGGUAAGCCCGGCGUGAAAUCCUGCAGCUUAACUGUAGAGCUGCGCUGGGAACUGCGAAACUUGAGUCAUGGAAGGGGAGUUAGAAUUCCAGGUGUAGGGGUGAAAUCUGUAGAUAUCUGGAAGAAUACCGGUGGCGAAGGCGAACUCCUGGCCAAUGACUGACGCUGAGGUACGAAAGUGCGGGGAGCAAACAGGAUUAGAUACCCUGGUAGUCCGCACCGUAAACUAUGUGCACUAGGUGUUGGGCCGAGCGGUUCAGUGCCGAAGCUAACGUGAUAAGUGCACCGCCUGGGGAGUAUGCCCGCAAGGGUGAAACUCAAAUGAAUUGACGG
RNAcentral lists this ribosomal RNA (393 nucleotides) under bacterium enrichment culture. RNAcentral describes it as "bacterial SSU rRNA". It matches the Rfam family "Bacterial small subunit ribosomal RNA", at positions 521 to 916 of the family's 1533-position model. The record is from RNAcentral.